Molecule: ribosomal RNA, 661 nt
Filed under: uncultured bacterium
Lineage: Bacteria
Description: bacterial SSU rRNA
Rfam family: Bacterial small subunit ribosomal RNA
Source: RNAcentral
AUGCAAGUCGAACGAGACCUUCGGGUCUAGUGGCGCACGGGUGAGUAACGCGUGGGAAUCUACCUUGUAGUUCGGGAUAACAGUUGGAAACGACUGCUAAUACCGGAUACGCCCUACGGGGGAAAGGUUUACUGCUCCAAGACGAGCCCGCGUCCAAUUAGGUAGUUGGUGGGGUAAAGGCCUACCAAGCCGACGAUUGGUAGCUGGUCUGAGAGGAUGGCCAGCCACACCGGGACUGAGACACGGCCCAGACUCCUACGGGAGGCAGCAGUGGGGAAUAUUGGACAAUGGGGGCAACCCUGAUCCAGCCAUGCCGCGUGAGUGAUGAAGGCCUUAGGGUUGUAAAGCUCUUUCGCCGGUGACGAUGAUGACGGUAACCGGAGAAGAAGCCCCGGCUAACUUCGUGCCAGCAGCCGCGGUAAUACGAAGGGGGCUAGCGUUGUUCGGAAUGACUGGGCGUAAAGCGCACGUAGGCGGCAAGUUUAGUCAGAGGUGAAAUCCCGGGGCUCAACCCCGGAACUGCCUUUGAUACUGGCUAGCUAGAGUCCGGAAGAGGGUGGCGGAAUACCCAGUGUAGAGGUGAAAUUCGUAGAUAUUGGGUAGAACACCAGUGGCGAAGGCGGCCACCUGGUCCGGUACUGACGCUGAGGUGCGAAAGCGU